CCGUCGAUUGCUCAGUUGGUAGAGCGGUGGACUGUAGAUCCAUAGGUCGCUGGUUCGAAUCCGGCUCGACGGA
This 73-nucleotide transfer RNA is filed under the name Rhipicephalus sanguineus (brown dog tick). RNAcentral describes it as "transfer RNA tyrosine (anticodon GUA)". It matches the Rfam family "tRNA". From Rfam's summary of the family: Transfer RNA (tRNA) molecules are approximately 80 nucleotides in length. Their secondary structure includes four short double-helical elements and three loops (D, anti-codon, and T loops). The record is from RNAcentral. Lineage: Eukaryota; Metazoa; Arthropoda; Arachnida; Ixodida; Ixodidae.